UAUAAAUAGCUUUUCUCUCUUUUUUUUGGGCGGCAUUCAUUCACUGUAGAAGAUAUUUUCUGAUUUUUUAGAGAGAGAGAGAGAGAGAGAGAGCAUUUCUAGAGAGAGAAACAUGAAGCAAGAGUGUUAGAAGUUGAUUCUUCCCAAGAUUUGUAGAGAAAUCAUGAAUCUUGUCAUGAAUCUUCAUCUUUUCUUCCAUUUUUGCAAGGCUACUAUGAAAGUAUGUGGCUAUAAUCUAUCCUUUGGGGUUAGAGGUACUAGAUCAAGUUAAUAUGUACUCUUUUUUAUCCUUAAAUAUAUGAUUCUAACAGUAUUUUACUUGAUGUUGAUUUUAUUCUUGUGUUUAAUGUUAUAUUUAUGAUUUGAAAUGAU
This 372-nucleotide long non-coding RNA is filed under the name Medicago truncatula (barrel medic). RNAcentral's name for it is "long non-coding RNA (MTRU_LNC000730)". The record is from RNAcentral. Lineage: Eukaryota; Viridiplantae; Streptophyta; Magnoliopsida; Fabales; Fabaceae.